CUAUCCAAGAUGGGUGUCAUAUUGGGUA
Molecule: non-coding RNA, 28 nt
Filed under: Homo sapiens (human)
Lineage: Eukaryota; Metazoa; Chordata; Mammalia; Primates; Hominidae
Source: RNAcentral